Molecule: ribosomal RNA, 442 nt
Filed under: uncultured bacterium
Lineage: Bacteria
Description: partial 16S ribosomal RNA
Rfam family: Bacterial small subunit ribosomal RNA
Source: RNAcentral
CCUACGGGUGCCAACAGUAGGGAAUCUUUCACAAUGGGCGAAAGCCUGAUGGAGCAACGCCGCGUGCAGGAUGCAGGCCUUCGGGUUGUAAACUGCUUUUAUAAGCGAGAAAUAUGAUGGUAACUUAUGAAUAAGGAUCGGCUAACUACGUGCCAGCAGCCGCGGUCAUACGUAGGAUCCGAGCAUUAUCCGGAGUGACUGGGUGUAAAGAGUUGCGUAGGUGGCAUAAUAAGUAGCUAGUGAAAUCUGGUGGCUCAACCAUUCAGACUAUUAGCUAAACUGUUAAGCUCGAGACCGUUAGGGGUAACUGGAAUUUCUAGUGUAGGAGUGAAAUCCGUAGAUAUUAGAAGGAACACCAAUAGCGUAGGCAGGUUGCUGGGACGGUUCUGACACUAAGGCACGAAAGCGUAGGGAGCAAACGGGAUUAGAUACCCUAGUAGUC